GGAGAGGUGACCGAGCGGCUUAAGGUGCGCGAUUGGAAAUCGCGUGGGCGGGUCAAACCGCCUCGUGGGUUCGAAUCCCAUCCUCUCCG
This 89-nucleotide transfer RNA is filed under the name Solirubrobacterales bacterium. RNAcentral describes it as "tRNA-Ser". It matches the Rfam family "tRNA". Rfam says of the family: Transfer RNA (tRNA) molecules are approximately 80 nucleotides in length. Their secondary structure includes four short double-helical elements and three loops (D, anti-codon, and T loops). The record is from RNAcentral. Lineage: Bacteria; Bacillati; Actinomycetota; Thermoleophilia; Solirubrobacterales.